Molecule: ribosomal RNA, 451 nt
Filed under: uncultured bacterium
Lineage: Bacteria
Description: partial 16S ribosomal RNA
Rfam family: Bacterial small subunit ribosomal RNA
Source: RNAcentral
GAUGAACGCUGGCGGCGUGCCUAACACAUGCAAGUCGAGCGGCAGCGCGGGGUGCUUGCACCCUGUCGGCGAGCGGCGGACGGCUGAGUGACGCGUGGGAACGUGCCCCAAAGUGAGGAAUAACUGCCCGAAAGGGUAGCUAAUACCGCAAACUAUCUUCGGAUCAAAGGAUUUAUCCGCUUUGGGAGCGGCUCGCGUCGGAUUAGGUAGUUGGGGAGGUAAUGGCUCACCAAGCCGACGAGCCGUAGCUGGUCUGAGAGGAUGACCAGCCAGACUGGAACUGGGGCACGGUCCAGACUCCUACGGGAGGCAGCCGUGAGGAAUCUUCCACUAUGGGCGAAAGCCUGAUGGAGCAACGCCGCGUGCAGGACGAAGGCCUUCGGGUUGUAAACUGCUUUUAUAAGUGAGGAAUAUGACGGUAACUUAUGAAUAAGGAUCGGCUAACUACGUG